This 374-nucleotide ribosomal RNA is filed under the name uncultured organism. Its description in RNAcentral is "partial 16S ribosomal RNA". It matches the Rfam family "Bacterial small subunit ribosomal RNA", at positions 527 to 896 of the family's 1533-position model. The record is from RNAcentral.
GUAGGUGGCAAGCGUUGUCCGGAGUUAUUGGGCGUAAAGCGCGCGCAGGCGGUUCUUUAAGUCUGAUGUGAAAGCCCACGGCUCAACCGUGGAGGGUCAUUGGAAACUGGAGAACUUGAGUACAGAAGAGGAAAGCGGAAUUCCACGUGUAGCGGUGAAAUGCGUAGAGAUGUGGAGGAACACCAGUGGCGAAGGCGGCUUUCUGGUCUGUAACUGACGCUGAGGCGCGAAAGCGUGGGGAGCAAACAGGGAUUAGAUACCCUGGUAGUCCACGCCGUAAACGAUGAGUGCUAAGUGUUAGGGGGGUUUCCGCCCCCUUAGUGCUGCAGCUAACGCAUUAAGCACUCCGCCUGGGGAGUACGGCCGCAAGGCUG